Molecule: ribosomal RNA, 303 nt
Filed under: uncultured bacterium
Lineage: Bacteria
Description: bacterial SSU rRNA
Rfam family: Bacterial small subunit ribosomal RNA
Source: RNAcentral
GAUGAACGCUGGCGGCAUGCCUAAGACAUGCAAGUCGUACGAAGCGGCCCACUGAAGUCUGAGUGCUUGCACAAAGAUGGACGUGGAUCACCGCUUAGUGGCAAACGGGUGAGUAACACGUGGGUUACCUACCUCUAAGUUGGGGAUAACAAUUGGAAACGAUUGAUAAUACCGAAUGUGCUCUACGGAGUAAAGAAGCCCUUAAAGCUUCGCUUAGAGAUGGGCCUGCGGCGCAUUAGCUAGUGGUGAGAUAACGGCCCACCAAGGCAACGAUGCGUAGCCGAACUGAGAGGUUGAUCGGCA